UACUGAUUGGUGCAUUUAUAAUCCUUUAGCUAGACAAGGAAGUUCUCCAAGUCCCCACUAGAUUAGCUAGACACAGAGCACUGAUUGGUGCGUUUACAAACUUUGAGCUAGACACAGGGUGCUGAUUGGUGCGUUUACAAACCUUGAGAUAGACACAAAGUGCUGAUUGGUGCAUUUACAAACCUUUAGCUAGACAUAAAAGUUCUCCAAGUGCCCACCCCACUCAGGAACCCAGCUGGCUUCCCUAGUGGGUCUGGUGUAGGUCCGCUGGCGGAGCUGCCAGCCGGACACACGCCCCACGCCCGCACUUCUCAGCCCUUCCGCGGUCCAUGGGUCCGGCCGUCGUGGAGCAGGGGGCGGCGCCCGUCGGGGAGGCUCCAGCCGCGCGGGAGCCAACGAUCUCCUCCGGGAGUGGUGGGCAGCUACUGUGAAAGGCCUGGUUCAAAAACCUCACAGCGGUUGUUUUCAGAGUUGUCCCUCCUGUGUACUCUCAAAGCCCCAGAAUGAAGCAAAGCAUCCUCCCUUUUCAAACUGGCACUCUUCCCCAACCUUGAGGACCACUAGGCACUUUGUUUUUAAAGCCACAAUAAAAAACUGGCAUGUAUCAGAUGAGCAGACAUGAGAAAGAAUAAAAAAUGCCCCCAAACCUGGCAUAUAGAUGUGUUGUUAACAAUUCAUGGCGUGUGUUUCUGUGUCGGAGGCAGGAGGGAGCUGAAAAGAUGCAGUUUUAUCUCCAAAGGAAAGAUGGAUGUUGAAUAAAUGGAUAAAUGGUGCCUAAACUGUGACAACAUCACAUUGUUCCAAAUCACUCCAACUGUGUGGGAUCUGAGCACACCCGAGAUAGGGUCUUGCUAUGUUGCCCAGACUGGUCUCCAACUCUUGGACUCAGACGAGGUUUUGCCAUGUUGCCCAAGCUGAUCUCGAACUUCUUGGCUCAAGUGAUCUGCCUGCCUUCCAAAGUGCUGGGAUUACAGGCAUGAGCCACCAAGCGCAGCCAUGAUUUAUUAGAUCACUUCUAAAAGCCCUCUCUCCAUCUCCAAGCCAGCAAGUGCUUCUUUGCACCCCAGCUCUAAAACAAAGCCCUUGGGGACACAAUCAAAGACAGUAGUUGCCAAGAGGAAUAGGGAGCAUGGAAAGAAGAAAUCAACUCUAAGGAAAGAAGUAGGCAGGAAACCUGUUGAAAGAAAAUGAAAGCAUUAUAUUUCAGCAAUUACUUAAAUCCUGCAAGAAGAUCAUGUUUGAUGGACACUGAAACUGGACAUUGUAGAAGAUGAAUUAUGAGAGUGAUUUAUGAAAGAAAGACAGUGGAGAAUUGCAAUCGAUGGAGACAUUCAAAGAAAAGACUUUGGCACUACAUCAAAAGAGAGUAGAAUAAAUGACGAAACUAAAGCACAAAGAGAUUAAAGAACUUAUCCAAGGUCAUGCAGCUGGAAAGAAGUGGAUUUGGGAUUGUGAACAUCACAAUUUCACAAACUACAUUUCAUGAUGGGUAGAGCUAGUCAAACGUCUGAAAAUAAAGUUUGGUUUAAAGAUGACCAUCGUCUUGUUAAGAAAUUAUAUAAAUGAGUAUCACUAAAAAGUCUCUCUUUAAACUCACCAAGCACUCUUCACUAUGGACAAGAAAGUGUGAAUAUGGUUAUUUUUUAUUUAAUAUUUUCAUGAUGAUUAACUGAAGGAUCUGACAGUAAAUAGUCUUUGGGUCUUUUUAAACUAAAACUCCUGUUGUUGUUGAUAGCAAUUGAUGCAAUUGAUAGUAAUGUGCUGUAUCCCUCAGAUGUAUUCCAGCUGAAGAAGGUGGAGAGCCACUAAAAUUUAUUGUUCUAUGUCAUUUUUCCAAAUCAUCUUUUGAUGACUGUCCAUCUACAUAUUGCUCAGUGGCUUUAUAUUUAGAACAUUAUUUGGGAAAUUGUAAUUUCAAAUAUUUUAACCUAUAAAUAUUCAAUGAAGCCUUGGCAAUGAAGAGUAAGACUUUAUAAAACCUUGAAUAUAUGAAUAGCACAGUUCUGGUUAUCUAUGUAACAACAUCCCCCAUAGUAACCUAAAACAAUGACAUUACUAUAUCCCAUGAUUCUGUGGAUUGCCUGGGCUUAGGUGGUAAGUUCUCAGGGUGUUGCUCAUUGUCACACCCAGAUAGCAGCUAGAACUAGAGUCAUCUGCAAACUCCUUUUUCUUGUGUGGACCAUCCAAGGUAGGUUUCUCAUGCACAUAUCUAGUGCUUUGGUGCUUCUUGGCCUCUCUCUUUCCACAUUGUAUCUCAUCUUCCUGGCCUCUCCACAUGGCUUGGGCUUCUUGUUGCAUGGUGUUACGAGGUACUCACACUGCUAACACAGUAGCUGACUUUCAAGAUACACAAAUUGGACCCUUUUAGACCAAUUAAGGGCUAUGGUGAAACUGGAGCAGUAUCACUCUCAUUGUAUUCUAUUGGCCAAAGUAGCAGAGGGCCUGAUCAGACCCAAAGAGGUAGAGAAAUAGAUUCUACUUCUCAAUGGGGGAGUACCAAGUUCAUAUUGCACAAGGGGAUGUAGAAUGGGAACUAUUGUUGUUAUCAUUAGGUAAUACAGUCUGCCUAAAGUACUAUAUCACCUAAUUAGACUUGCUUUGCACAUGAUGACCAGGAGGAAACAAGAUACUGUUUUGGAAUGUACUCACUAAGCAGCUGCCUAGAUGCUGCUUACCUAACAAGUGCCUUGUUUCCACUCAAGGUCAUGGAUCUUUGGGAGUCUAAUAAGAGUGAUGAAAAAUUAUUCAUAGGUCUCCUUCCUUUACUAUACAAUCCUCGCUGCUAAGAGAAAGAUGGGCAAAGGACCUGGGAUGGAUAUCUUUGUGAAUCUAUCAAUAAUGGAUAAAAUAUCUCAUUUGUCUGCUUUCCUUAUUAUCUAAUUCUUCCCUCUUAGAGGAGUCUGAGCAAAGGAGCCUAGACUGGGUGUAUGGUGGAGAGUCAGUAACUAGGAGUAGAAUCUAAAUCAAAUCAAUAGUGUCCUAGUUAACCAAAUCAAAGAGUAAAUGUACAGAAACACAGGAAACCAUGCAGGGUAAUCAAGACUAAAAUUCUGGGUUAUAAGGAACAGCCUAAAACAAUUCUGAGUUGCAAAAUAAAUGGCACCAAUAAUCUUAUACUAAAUUUCAGAAUGUUAGGAUAGGCCUUAUUCUGCUUAAGAUCAGAAUUGGUUCAAGAUACUGGGUUGGAGUUGAACUAGAAGGUUGUAGGUUGGUAGCCCCAGCUAGAAGGAGAGGCCUAGGAGGAUGCCAAGGAGUAAUUGGUAAGUUGCAAAUGUUGAGUUCCUACCAUGGACUUCUGCAGCAAUUGGUGACUGAUUUGUUAGAUGUUGCAGAGAGACUCAAAACAACUAUCAAUCAUCCUGUUAAUUAAAAAUAUUCAUUGGAUUUUUAAAUAUAUUAUAUUAUAUACUUUUGAUAGGAAAACAAUAGAAUGGUAUAAAAUAAUAAAUUUUAUUGUUUUACUUACAUAUUCUUUAAUUUCUAGUAAUCUGAUAUUUUUUCUUCUUCUUUUUUUUUUUGAGACGGGGUCUUGCCCCAUCGCCCAGCCUGGAUUGCAAUGGCGCAAUCUUGGCUCACUGAAACCUUCGCCUCCCAGGUUCAAGCAAUUAUCCUGUCUCAGCCUCCCGAGUAGCUGGGACUACAGGUGCCGCCACCAUGCCCAGCUAAUUUUUGUAUUUUUAGUAGAGAUCAGGUUUCACCUUGUUGGUCAGGCUUGUGUUGAACUCCUGACCUCAGGUGACCUACCCGCCUUGGCCUCCCAAAGUGUUGGGAUUACAGGUGUGAGCCACUGCGCCCGGCCUAUAUCUGAAUUUUUAAGAACUAAGUUUUACAUUUGAAGGUAAUGUAAAUAAUAUAUACAUUUAUGAAUAUCCUUGGUUGCAUUAUUUUUAAUAGAUUAAUACUUAUAAUAGUAUGAAUCUACAUUAGCUAAAAAUGACCUUAUGUAUAGUUGAUUUAGUUCUGGUCAUUUUAUCAUUUUGAUAAAUUAUGAAAUUAUAUCAUUGCAUAGACUGGUUGAUUUUUAUACAAUUGUUUGUGUGACUAAUUGGGGAAAGACUGGAAUGCUUACUACAAGGGUGAUUUAGUUUUUGAGUUUAAACACAAGCUAAGGUUUCAAUUUCCUGCAGUGGAAGUGCUUUCUGAGCUUGCCUGAAUAGGACUAAAAUCGUUCUAGCCAAAGAGGUGUUGAAUAAUGAUGAAUUUUUCUUAAGGUCAGCUGAUCUAUUUUUAAAGAUAACAUAGUGAAUGAGAAUCAAAGCUUAUCAUUUCUGAAAAAUGACAAUAAUAAUAAAUUGCAAUAUACUUUUAAAGAGUAGCAGUUAUAUUUGGACAGAACUUUAUUUUUUCCAGCAUGUGAAUCAUUACCUAAUAAUAUUUCAUUUAAUUAAUCAGAAAAUUGUGAGUCAAUAGCUCUGCUUACAAAACCUAUAAACAGAAACUCCAAUUCAACCUUAUCGCUACUAAAUUUUAAUGUUAAGAGACAACACAAAUUAAUUAAAGACAAAAUGAUUCACAAAAUAAUUACAGCCUCUUGUUGCCUUAGGGAAUAAUAAAGAACUAACUUAUUUCAGUAGUGAGGCUAUUAAUGGUGUGCAUGACAAAGAGAUAAACCCAAGUAUAGUUAAUUCCAUUUAAAAAUUGCCUCUGGCAAAUGAAGAAAAUAAGUGAAGAAAAGAAGUGCUUGUGUAUAUAUGUGUGUGUAUAUACAUAUAUGAAGUGAGAGAAUUAGUAAAUUUUAACCUAAUUUGUUUUUUAAAAUAAUUAAUGUAUAGGCCUUUUCUGUUGUGACUUUGAAAAAGUAUUUGAAAA
Molecule: long non-coding RNA, 4809 nt
Filed under: Homo sapiens (human)
Lineage: Eukaryota; Metazoa; Chordata; Mammalia; Primates; Hominidae
Description: HSALNT0210197
Source: RNAcentral